Molecule: ribosomal RNA, 426 nt
Filed under: uncultured bacterium
Lineage: Bacteria
Description: bacterial SSU rRNA
Rfam family: Bacterial small subunit ribosomal RNA
Source: RNAcentral
GAAUUUUUCGCAAUGGGGGAAACCCUGACGAAGCAACGCCGCGUGGAGGAUGAAGGCCUUCGGGUCGUAAACUCCUGUCGAUCGGGACGAACGUAGUCCGGCCCAAUACGCCGGGCUAUCGACUGUACCGGUAAAGGAAGCCCCGGCUAACUCUGUGCCAGCAGCCGCGGUAAUACAGAGGGAGCGAGCGUUGUUCGGAAUUACUGGGCGUAAAGGGCGCGUAGGCGGUCUUGUAAGUCCCGUGUGAAAUCCCUCGGCUCAACUGAGGAACUGCACGGGAAACUGCGAGGCUUGAGUUCGGGAGAGGGAAGCGGAAUUCCGGGUGUAGCGGUGAAAUGCGUAGAUAUCCGGAGGAACACCGGUGGCGAAGGCGGCUUCCUGGACCGACACUGACGCUGAGGCGCGAAAGCUAGGGGAGCAAACGGG